Molecule: ribosomal RNA, 450 nt
Filed under: Clostridioides difficile
Lineage: Bacteria; Bacillati; Bacillota; Clostridia; Peptostreptococcales; Peptostreptococcaceae
Description: bacterial LSU rRNA
Rfam family: Bacterial large subunit ribosomal RNA
Source: RNAcentral
AGAACCUGGAACCGUGAAGAUACAACCUGUGGAGGCACAUUUCUUUUGGAACCGAUUGCAUGUGGAACAACGGUCAAACCAGUCAAGUCAAGUAGAAAGUGUAAUCUCUUAAGGUGAGGAGUCUUAGAGAAAGCGAGUUUUAACUGAGCCUUAAGUUACUUGACGUAGACCCGAAACCGGGCUACCUACCCAUGAGCAGGAUGAAGCGAAAGUAAAAUUUCGUGGAGGUCCGACCCCACGAGCGUUGAAAAGCUCGGGGAUGACUUGUGGGUAGCGGUGAAAUUACAAUCGAGCCCGGAGAUAGCUGGUUCUCCCUGACAUAACUUUAGGGCGAGCCUCAAGGUGAGAGACACGGAGGUAGAGCUAUGCAUGUCCUAGGGGGUAUUGCACCGACCGAAGACUAUCAAGCUCCGAAUGUAGUCAGAGAAUACUUGGAUGUCCGAGCGUGGG